CUUUCAGGUAAAUCGUAAACAUGGCUUAGUUGCCGUUGCUGCCGAGUUCGAAUUUCCUUCCAAUUUUUCUAGGUUAAGCUUCAAACACAUUCUGGCUUACAUGUCUCGUGUUAUCCAUCAGCUUGAUCAGCAGCGGGUUUGCAGUUCGUACUUUGUUGUUUGGGUUGCAAUAUUAGGAUUACUCGUGUGAGGCUCGGGUACUCUAUCUGCUGUGGCUGCCAUCAGUUCUCAAUCAUGUUGGAGAUUCUUCUGGUAGUGCUGGAAUUUAUUCACGAAAUCGAGAUACCUGCUACGUGUUGCAGGUCUCUGGAGCAUCACACCAUCAAUUGUAGGGAAAAAAAACAAAAACCGAAGAGGCGAGAAAGAGUGAGAUUCUGAGGAAUAAUGGAAUUUUAGAAUCUUAACUCAAAGUAAAGGUGAUGGGCUGGAUUCUCAAGUCAAGAAUAUUGCUUAUUCUUUCCUACUCAAGGCCACCAAAAAUGGGUUCCAUCUUUAUCCGAUCCUCUUGGUGAACAGUUUAUAUAAGAUUCCUCUCAUCAAGCAUUCACGGAUGAUUAUUGGUAAGUGAUUUUCUUUUUCGGCCAAGUAUUGUUAUUAAUUAAUAUAUUCCUUGCUAAUUAAUUGCUCUUUUCUGUGAAUAUUUUUAUAACUUAUGUGCUAAUAUCCAUUUAGUCAAUUGGCAAGUUGCUGUCUGAACUCUAAUCAGUCGUUGUGCGAGAGAAUGAAAUAUUUGAUUACAUUAUGGAUGCCAUUUUACGAAAGUAAUACUAAUAUUGAAGCUCAAGUUCC
This is a long non-coding RNA of Erythranthe guttata (spotted monkey flower), 789 nucleotides long. RefSeq lists it as uncharacterized. NCBI's taxonomy places the organism in Eukaryota, Viridiplantae, Streptophyta, Magnoliopsida, Lamiales, Phrymaceae. The record is from RefSeq and is a predicted model, not a curated record.